Molecule: ribosomal RNA, 301 nt
Filed under: uncultured bacterium
Lineage: Bacteria
Description: partial 16S ribosomal RNA
Rfam family: Bacterial small subunit ribosomal RNA
Source: RNAcentral
CAGUAGCCCGGGAAUACAGAGGGUGCGAGCGUUAAUCGGAUUUACUGGGCGUAAAGCGUGCGUAGGCGGCUUUUUAAGUCGGAUGUGAAAUCCCUGAGCUUAACUUAGGAAUUGCAUUCGAUACUGGGAAGCUAGAGUAUGGGAGAGGAUGGUAGAAUUCCAGGUGUAGCGGUGAAAUGCGUAGAGAUCUGGAGGAAUACCGAUGGCGAAGGCAGCCAUCUGGCCUAAUACUGACGCUGAGGUACGAAAGCAUGGGGAGCAAACAGGAUUAGAUACCCCAGUAGUCCCUGUCUCUUAUACA